RNAcentral lists this ribosomal RNA (610 nucleotides) under Rhizobium sp. P4-QB-2050. RNAcentral's name for it is "bacterial SSU rRNA". It matches the Rfam family "Bacterial small subunit ribosomal RNA", at positions 133 to 777 of the family's 1533-position model. The record is from RNAcentral. Lineage: Bacteria; Pseudomonadati; Pseudomonadota; Alphaproteobacteria; Hyphomicrobiales; Rhizobiaceae.
UUUCUACGGAAUAACGCAGGGAAACUUGUGCUAAUACCGUAUGUGUCCUUCGGGAGAAAGAUUUAUCGGGAAAGGAUGAGCCCGCGUUGGAUUAGCUAGUUGGUGGGGUAAAGGCCUACCAAGGCGACGAUCCAUAGCUGGUCUGAGAGGAUGAUCAGCCACAUUGGGACUGAGACACGGCCCAAACUCCUACGGGAGGCAGCAGUGGGGAAUAUUGGACAAUGGGCGCAAGCCUGAUCCAGCCAUGCCGCGUGAGUGAUGAAGGCCCUAGGGUUGUAAAGCUCUUUCACCGGAGAAGAUAAUGACGGUAUCCGGAGAAGAAGCCCCGGCUAACUUCGUGCCAGCAGCCGCGGUAAUACGAAGGGGGCUAGCGUUGUUCGGAUUUACUGGGCGUAAAGCGCACGUAGGCGGAUCGAUCAGUCAGGGGUGAAAUCCCAGGGCUCAACCCUGGAACUGCCUUUGAUACUGUCGAUCUGGAGUAUGGAAGAGGUAAGUGGAAUUCCGAGUGUAGAGGUGAAAUUCGUAGAUAUUCGGAGGAACACCAGUGGCGAAGGCGGCUUACUGGUCCAUUACUGACGCUGAGGUGCGAAAGCGUGGGGAGCAAACAGGA